CAGUCGAACGGGAAUUACUUUAUUGAAACUUCGGUCGAUUUAAUUUAAUUCCACCGGUGGACGGGUGAGUAACGCGUGGGUAACCUGCCUUAUACAGGGGGAUAACAGUCAGAAAUGACUGCUAAUACCGCAUAAGCGCACAGGACCGCAUGGUCUGGUGUGAAAAACUCCGGUGGUAUAAGAUGGACCCGCGUUGGAUUAGCUGGUUGGUGGGGUAACGGCCCACCAAGGCGACGAUCCAUAGCCGGCCUGAGAGGGUGAACGGCCACAUUGGGACUGAGACACGGCCCAGACUCCUACGGGAGGCAGCAGUGGGGAAUAUUGCACAAUGGGGGAAACCCUGAUGCAGCGACGCCGCGUGAAGGAAGAAGUAUCUCGGUAUGUAAACUUCUAUCAGCAGGGAAGAUAGUGACGGUACCUGACUAAGAAGCCCCGGCUAACUACGUGCCAGCAGCCGCGGUAAUACGUAGGGGGCAAGCGUUAUCCGGAUUUACUGGGUGUAAAGGGAGCGUAGACGGUGUGGCAAGUCUGAUGUGAAAGGCAUGGGCUCAACCUGUGGACUGCAUUGGAAACUGUCAUACUUGAGUGCCGGAGGGGUAAGCGGAAUUCCUAGUGUAGCGGUGAAAUGCGUAGAUAUUAGGAGGAACACCAGUGGCGAAGGCGGCUUACUGGACGGUAACUGACGUUGAGGCUCGAAAGCGUGGGGAGCAAACAGGA
This 717-nucleotide ribosomal RNA is filed under the name uncultured bacterium. RNAcentral's name for it is "bacterial SSU rRNA". It matches the Rfam family "Bacterial small subunit ribosomal RNA", at positions 59 to 777 of the family's 1533-position model. The record is from RNAcentral.